UACGGGGGGGGCAAGCGUUGUUCGGAAUUACUGGGCGUAAAGGGCUCGUAGGCGGCCAACUAAGUCAGACGUGAAAUCCCCAGGCUCAACCUGGGAACUGCGUCUGAUACUGGAUGGCUUGAAUCCGGGAGAGGGAUGCAGAAUCCCAGGUGUAGCGGUGAAAUGCGUAGAUAUCUGGAGGAAUACCGGUGGCGAAGGCGGCAUCCUGGACCGGCAUUGACGCUGAGGAGCGAAAGCUAGGGGAGCAAACGGG
RNAcentral lists this ribosomal RNA (253 nucleotides) under uncultured bacterium. Its description in RNAcentral is "partial 16S ribosomal RNA". It matches the Rfam family "Bacterial small subunit ribosomal RNA", at positions 524 to 776 of the family's 1533-position model. The record is from RNAcentral.